Molecule: ribosomal RNA, 252 nt
Filed under: uncultured prokaryote
Description: partial 16S ribosomal RNA
Rfam family: Bacterial small subunit ribosomal RNA
Source: RNAcentral
AUACGUAGGGUGCGAGCGUUGUCCGGAAUUAUUGGGCGUAAAGGGCUCGUAGGCGGUUUGUCGCGUCGGGAGUGAAAACACUGGGCUUAACCCAGUGCUUGCUUUCGAUACGGGCAGACUAGAGGUAUGCAGGGGAGAACGGAAUUCCUGGUGUAGCGGUGAAAUGCGCAGAUAUCAGGAGGAACACCGGUGGCGAAGGCGGUUCUCUGGGCAUGUCCUGACGCUGAGGAGUGAAAGUGUGGGGAGCGAACA